Long non-coding RNA from Sarcophilus harrisii (Tasmanian devil), 644 nucleotides. RefSeq lists it as uncharacterized. The record is from RefSeq and is a predicted model, not a curated record. Lineage: Eukaryota; Metazoa; Chordata; Mammalia; Dasyuromorphia; Dasyuridae. The transcript is spliced from 3 exons.
UUAAUUAGUGUGAAUUAAUUCUCAGAACUUAAUUGUUUCAGAGUAAGCUGACAAAAAUCAAGUUUCUGCCAUUUCAAAGCUGAGGACCAAGACCUGGUCGUCCUCAUCAGGGAGGAAACGAAAUUUCCUCAGUCCUGAAGGGGAAAAAAUGUUUAAUGUAUGAGCUGGCAUUGAAUGCUUAAUGAUUUCUACAGUCAACACCCUCCUUCAAAGGCUGAGUCAUCUUUGCAAGAUCUGCACUCUUUGUCAGACUCAGCAAACUGACAAAGAAGCUAAAAAACAGGCUAAUAUUGAUGGACUAUGGGAACACAGACAUGCCCAUACACUAUUGGUGGAGCUGUGCUAGGAAACCAUUUAGAAUCAUUCAAGAAAAGCAAUUAAACUGCCAAAAAGAUAAAAGAAAAUAUUACAGCAUUUACUGUCAGGAUCCAGUAACAGAAGACCAGCUAUUGGGGACACAGUCCUUGGAGCAUGCUCAGAUUAGACCUUCCCACUGAGUUAAGCAGAAUCUGAACAAUAUUUCUAGCUUCAAUCCAAAGCAGAGGCUUGGGGAUGUCUUUCCUGGCUGUGAGUGCUGCAUGGCAACUUGGGACUUGGUUGGUCCGAGAAGCAGAACUGUUUCCAUAUAAAAGUGAUGAGUAUGU